UUUCUAUCUACAAUGUUCAAUCCCAACUUUUCUGAGUCCUAGUACGCAAGGAAUGGUCUCAGCGAUGCUCGACUAUAUUGGCCCCAUCGACGUAAUCAACUUCUGGCUGCUGCAAAGAAGGGAAAACAAAAGGUUUAGGGAUUAAUAAGGU
Molecule: ribosomal RNA, 151 nt
Filed under: Isidella sp. HI-243
Lineage: Eukaryota; Metazoa; Cnidaria; Anthozoa; Scleralcyonacea; Keratoisididae
Description: partial 16S ribosomal RNA
Source: RNAcentral